Molecule: ribosomal RNA, 480 nt
Filed under: Metridium senile (brown sea anemone)
Lineage: Eukaryota; Metazoa; Cnidaria; Anthozoa; Actiniaria; Metridiidae
Also listed under: 1 other name
Description: LSU rRNA
Rfam family: Bacterial large subunit ribosomal RNA
Source: RNAcentral
CACUGACCGUGAUAAUGUAGCGUAAUCAAUAGCCAAUUAAUUGUUGGCCGGUAUGAAUGGCAUCACGAAGGCCCCACUGUCUUAAGAGGACUCUCCAUGAAAUUGAAAUCGUAGUGAAGAUGCUACGUCCAUAUUGUAAGACGAAAAGACCCCAUUGAGCUUUACUAAAGACUUGUAUGGCUCGAAAUAACUUAAAUAAAAAGUUUAGAUAAUGUGGGAUCCGUUUUGGUUAAUGAAACACCACUCUUUUAUUUUAAGAGAGCUAACCUUGUAGGGAGAAUGCAAGUUGGAUAGUUUGGUUGGGGCGACCACCUUUUAAAAGGUAACGAAGGUGAGCUUAAGGUCCGUAGUUAAUAGCUAGUGGCCUGACUGCAAGGGGGACAUCCCGAGCAGACACUGGUAAUCUCUCAGUGGGUUAUAGUGACCCGUCAUCUUAGAGUGGAAUAGUUGACGAUCAACGAAUAAAAGCUACCAUGGGGA